GACUUACUGGAAAUGUUUGGAUCGUCCUCCAUCAGCUGUGCAGGGAUCCUCUCUGAUGGCUCAGUCGGUGAAUUGGCUUCUAGUCGAGUUAAAGGUGAGCUGGAUGAACUGUGCCGUGGCCUCUCUCCUCUGUAAACUCGGGACUUGAUGCAUCUUUUGUCCUGAGUUUAUUCGAAGCGAGCACAAGAAGAAUUGAGUUGUUAGAUCGACCAAUAACGUCGGUGUUUCCAGGCGGAUUUCCUCCUUUUUAAAAAUCAAUAAUAAACCUUUUCAUGAUGGGUCACUGUUUGUCCCAGACAUGUUUCUCACUUUUUAUCUUUUCAUUACCGGUCUGCCUCUGCCUCCUCUCUCCAUCUUCGUUCUUUAAACGCGCCAUCAUUUCAUCAUGUUACUCUCUGUCCAUCACCUCUUUCUCUUUUCACCCCUUCCUUCCCCUCUCUCCUUUUUCUUUCCAUCACUUUCUCCCACGUCGCCUCUCGGAUCCUUCAAUCUCUUUUCCCCCACGCUGUCACCUUUUCAUCCUUCCUCGUUGCCUCCUUCGCUUUCUAUCCAUCCUUCUUCAUCUCUGGCUAUUUUUCCCCUCUCCGUCCAUCGCUCUGUGUUUCUGCCUCCAUUAGGGGGAAAUGGAAAAAGUGACAUCAGCUAUUUGGUAAACGGAGAGAGAUGGAGGGAGGGAGAGAAGAGGAGAGGAUAGAAAAAUGGAAAGCAAAGAUCAAAACAGUGACAUUUGGACUGAUUGUGAAAGAGAGAAACAGGAAACGAGAGAGGAGAAAGAAGUGCGACAGAGGUGAGAGAGAAUUAAAGACAGGAGUGUGAGGAAGAUGGAGUGAGAGAGGUAGACAUCCAUUAGAGAGAGAGAGAGAGAGAGAGAGAGUGAGAGAAAGAGGGAAAGGCUUCACCUCAUUAACCUCGUAAUGCAGAGUAAAUAUACAGUCUAAAUGGAACAUGGACGAUGUGUGUGUGUGUUUACUCACAGGCUUCUGUGUGUGUGUGUGUGUGUGUGUGUGUGUGUGUGUUACAAUCCCAGGAAGAUGAUUUGACAUUUCAGGGAAGGUUUGUAUGUCACCAGCUGAAUUUAUUUUAUUUUUUUUUUACAGGAUCAGUCGACAAACUGACGGACGAGACUCGUUUCUAACGAACAGACACGGCUCCAGAAUAAUUAUAAUUAGUUCUUAAUAAGAAAAAAAUAUAUUUUUGAGCUUUGUUUUUUAAAGUAAUUCCCUAAAAACUCGUCACUGUAGUUCACACCAAGAGGAAUGAAAGUUCAGACCUCCAACAAAAACAACUGGUCAGUCAGCUACUUCGUUGUACAUCGUCUAAAUGUUAUUUAUAUUCUGUAACAUGAUGUGAACUUCUAAUUUCUAAGUCACACGCCACCGACUUAUUUCACUGAUUUUGGUGAAACUGGAUCAUAUUUUAUGGAGAAAAUUUUUUUUGGUUUUCCCUCUGCUCCGUCCAUCAACUCUCUGUGAUUUACAGAGUUUCCUGAUGGACAGUGAAGUAAACUGUAGCUGCUGUUAGCUAAUGUGUGCUCGGUUUGUUAACCUUUUGAGUUCAGAGCACCGGACAGAGUGUUAGUGUUUGGACCACCAGGCGUUUUUUGGACCAGCAAAUAGGUGGAGGAGGUUUGUUUAAAGGAAAAAGGAGGUUGACGGGGACAUAAUGACAGAGGUAGAGACCGAAGAGGACACAGCUAAGAAAAGAAAGAUAAGAAGCCGCCGGAUAUGAGUAAAUGUGGGACUGACUUUUAGUGGUUGGUGAAACAAAAGGCUCAAAGACGCCAAACUGGGCUCCAAAAAUCCUAAUUUUGUAAAACUUCUACGAAUGUUUCUUCAGCUGGAUGUUGAGAAAGGUUCGUUCGUUUCUGCCCUUUGAUAACGUUAGAGCUGGUCGAUCUUUUAAUACCAGGUUUUGGUACCAAUCAAAGUUUCAAUUUGUUCGAUCACCACUUUGGUUCUGACUGAAAUAUCUCAACAAUUAUUACACGGAUUUCCUCGAGAUUUCAUACAAACAUUCACGAUGCCCAGGAGAUCAAACCAACUGAAUUUGGUCAUUCCUUGAAUUUUCAUGUAGCACCACCGUGUUGGCGUUUGCGUCAAACGUCACACCAACUAUAUUCGGUCGAUUGGCCAAUACGUUCAUGUUCCCCUCUUGAUGAAUUGUCAUAUCUUUGGUGUUUCCAAGCUUGAAUACCUGCAAUAAUUCAUCUUCAGUGGUCUUUAAAUGCAGAAACAGGAAUGUGUUUUAGUUGUAGUAUCCAGGUUUAGGUCCGCACCCCCAGUUUUUCAAUGGGAUUGAC
Molecule: long non-coding RNA, 2299 nt
Organism: Larimichthys crocea (large yellow croaker)
Lineage: Eukaryota; Metazoa; Chordata; Actinopteri; Sciaenidae
Exons: 3
Source: RefSeq, a predicted model, not a curated record